ACCACAGUGGACCGGGGCGGCAUGGCAGUCCUCUGAAAUCCUUCCCUAGCAUCUGGCAAGAUGGCUGGACCCCAGCUGACACUCCGCCUGCACUCCUGGGGAAAGGGGGGCCAGUGAUGAAAGGCGGCCACAUCACCUGAGGUGCAACCUGUGAGGCUGUAGCGGUGUGUGAGCCUGCCGAGAGAGGAGGAUCAGGGCGCGGUCCUCGUGGCGAAACCCCCUCCCUCUCAUCUUCUGAGGCCUCCCUUCCAAGAAACAGUACUACGUCAGGGUGUGGCUGCAACAACUUGGAAGGGCGACAGCAGCAGGAAGAAGAGAGAAGAUGAGUCGCUGCCCCAAAGGAGCCUCCAGUUUCCAUUUGGAAGGGGUUGAGCUGGACAUAGGAGCAGAGGGGGCGCUGGUUUAUGGAAGCAGCCGAGGCUAUGAACUUGAGUCAGGAUUGAAGAGUCAACGCAAUGUUUUUCCCCCACCCCUUUUUGUCAUCAUCCCACAGCAUACACAGAAUUUGUGACAAGUUCUUAUGCAGGAAUCCACAACAUCAACAGAGAAGCCAGGGAAAUUGAUUGCAAGACAUUUUGAAGCAUAGCCCAAC
Sphaerodactylus townsendi is the source of this 592-nucleotide long non-coding RNA. RefSeq lists it as uncharacterized. The record is from RefSeq and is a predicted model, not a curated record. NCBI's taxonomy places the organism in Eukaryota, Metazoa, Chordata, Lepidosauria, Squamata, Sphaerodactylidae. The transcript is spliced from 4 exons.